This 433-nucleotide ribosomal RNA is filed under the name uncultured Dokdonella sp. RNAcentral's name for it is "bacterial SSU rRNA". It matches the Rfam family "Bacterial small subunit ribosomal RNA", at positions 355 to 780 of the family's 1533-position model. Lineage: Bacteria; Pseudomonadati; Pseudomonadota; Gammaproteobacteria; Lysobacterales; Rhodanobacteraceae. The record is from RNAcentral.
UGGGGAAUAUUGGACAAUGGGCGCAAGCCUGAUCCAGCCAUGCCGCGUGGGUGAAGAAGGCCUUCGGGUUGUAAAGCCCUUUUGUUGGGAAAGAAAUCCUGUCGGCUAAUACCCGGCGGGGAUGACGGUACCCAAAGAAUAAGCACCGGCUAACUUCGUGCCAGCAGCCGCGGUAAUACGAAGGGUGCAAGCGUUACUCGGAAUUACUGGGCGUAAAGCGUGCGUAGGCGGUUCGUUAAGUCUGUCGUGAAAGCCCUGGGCUCAACCUGGGAAUUGCGAUGGAUACUGGCGAGCUAGAGUACGGUAGAGGAUGGUGGAAUUCCCGGUGUAGCGGUGAAAUGCGUAGAGAUCGGGAGGAACACCCGUGGCGAAGGCGGCCAUCUGGACCAGUACUGACGCUGAGGCACGAAAGCGUGGGGAGCAAACAGGAUUA